UACGAAGGUCCCGAGCGUUGUUCGGAAUCACUGGGCGUAAAGGGAGCGUAGGCGGCGCGGUAAGUCAGAUGUGAAAUCCCGGGGCUCAACCCCGGAACUGCAUCCGAUACUGCCGUGCUAGAGGAUUGGAGAGGUAGCUGGAAUUCUUGGUGUAGCAGUGAAAUGCGUGGAUAUCAAGAGGAACACUCGUGGCGAAAGCGAGCUACUGGACAACUCCUGACGCUGAGGCACGAAGGUCAGGGGAGCAAACGGG
This 253-nucleotide ribosomal RNA is filed under the name uncultured bacterium. Its description in RNAcentral is "partial 16S ribosomal RNA". It matches the Rfam family "Bacterial small subunit ribosomal RNA", at positions 524 to 776 of the family's 1533-position model. The record is from RNAcentral.